GAUGAACGCUGGCGGCGUGCCUAAUACAUGCAAGUCGAGCGAACAGACGAGGAGCUUGCUCCUCUGACGUUAGCGGCGGACGGGUGAGUAACACGUGGAUAACCUACCUAUAAGACUGGGAUAACUUCGGGAAACCGGAGCUAAUACCGGAUAAUAUAUUGAACCGCAUGGUUCAAUAGUGAAAGACGGGUUUGCUGUCACUUAUAGAUGGAUCCGCGCCGCAUUAGCUAGUUGGUAAGGUAACGGCUUACCAAGGCAACGAUGCGUAGCCGACCUGAGAGGGUGAUCGGCCACACUGGAACUGAGACGCGGUCCAGACUCCUACGGGAGGCAGCAGUAGGGAAUCUUCCGCAAUGGGCGAAUGCCUGACGGAGCAACGCCGCGUGAGUGAUGAAGGUCUUCGGGUCGUAAGACUCUGUUAUUAGGGAAGAACAAAUGUGUAAGUAACUAUGCACGUCUUGACGGUACCUAAUCAGAAAGCCACGGCUAACUUCGUG
Molecule: ribosomal RNA, 497 nt
Filed under: uncultured bacterium
Lineage: Bacteria
Description: partial 16S ribosomal RNA
Rfam family: Bacterial small subunit ribosomal RNA
Source: RNAcentral